AGACCAAUUUGUCACCCAAUAUGUGGGUGUCUAAUACUAAGUAAUUUAACCAACUUUUGAAGCCCCGCUUAUCCACAAAAAUGUUUUUCAGCAAAACUUUGUUUCCUGUUAAGCUAUUAAUACGGGUCAUCUUUUAGCUUUGUAAUUGAAAAAAAAAAAGUUUAGAUAGUAGUUUACCUUAAAAGCCCAUUCGAACUGACAUAGGAAGAUGAAAGAGACUGACUUGUCCAAAUUGUCAGGUCCACCUCUGCAUCACAGUGGAUGUCAGGAUGUAAAUUUUCAGUUUUUCUCUUACAUCUAGAAAGUAAAUAUAUUGCUGAGAGGGAAAUUGUUUGCAUCAAACCAGAUAAGGAAGGAGGGCUAGGCAAAUUUAGUUCUCAUUUAGCAAAACUUCCUGAUUUGUUUUGUUACUUAAAUGGUGACAUCAGUGUUUGGUCAUGGUAGACACUUAGGUGAUGAUAGCCAAAACAUCCAUCGAUUUUACUAAAAUCACUGCCAUUAAGAGAGUUUUUUGUCUCUUCAUGUUCAAUGUUUGAAAGGUAUUCAGUAAUCUAUUUCAGAAGCAAAUCAAUUAGGGAAUGGUGUUUAUUAAAAUACGGUACAGUUGCCAGGACUUUAAAAGAUGGUACUGGUUUCUAACAACUUACGAGUAUAUAGGGUAUUUAAAAGAUGGGAGAGAUUGAAGAAAGACAAAGGUUUAAAGGUCAUAGCCUUCGAGCAUAAGAGGCAUAUGAAUGGUGUCUUGGCCUUAACUCCCAAUUAUACGAACUUCUGUUUUAGCUGAAUAGGCCAGUGCCUCGUGCCUUGAUAUUUCGGCAAAUCUAUUAGUGGUUCCUUAAGCAUAGGGAACUUUGUACUUUAUGCUCUGUCGCCAUAAUAAUGUAUUUAUAGAAUUAAACAUUCUCAAAUUAGGGUCUUGUUAAACUGACUUUUUCUUUCAGAAAGUAGCUACUUAAAUUCUGUUACAGCUACAAAAGAUCCAUCAAGUGCUGACUGCUUAAACUGAAGAAGGUGUCCAGGGCCUUAAUUCUGCAAACAUUUCCUGUUGUUAGAAAGUAUGAUGCUUGAACAGCGAUCUCAGUGUAUUUUAUGUUUUAAAGGGGGUAACGUUUGGUGUGUUUAAGAGAGCUGAUGUGUUUUGGAUGAGACUAAAGUUGAUCCUUGGUUUUACAUUAAGAUGAACCUGGGUCCAUGUGUCUGCUUAAAGAAUGUAAAUUGGCAUACUUGAUAGGAGGAUAAAGCUUUGUAGGAAUUAGAAAAGAUCAUUCUCUUUUUUGUUGCAGAAGCAGUAUAGUAUAGUAGUUAGAGCAUGGGCCCUGGAGCCAGGCUGCUUGGUGUCUUCCUUUAUUUAUUUAUUUAUUUAAUUAUAAAAAGUAAAUAUAAAGUGAGCUAUGUUGACCAGGUUCGUCUUGAACUCCUGGCCUCAAGCAAUCCUCCUGCCUCAGCCUCCCAAAGUGCUGGGAUUACAGGCAUGAGCCACCACAACCUGGCCUGCUUGGGUUUUUCUAUCUUGGCUCUGCCACCUAGCUGUGGGUCCUUGGACAAGUUACUUCAUCUCUCUGUGCCUCAGGUUUUUCAAAUGUAAAAUUGGGAUAAUUGGAUCUGUCUCAUAGGGUUGUGAAAAUUAAUGAGUUAAUGCUCUUAGAAGAGUACCUCAUAUGUAAUAAGCACGCAACUGUUAAUUAUUGUUAAUGUAGAAGUUAAUUCUGUGUAUAAAUCAGAUACACUGUGGUCAAAGAUUUGUGUGUAUUUGUAAGAAAAGAGGAGAAUGGAGAAUCUAUUUUUAAGUGG
Molecule: long non-coding RNA, 1791 nt
Filed under: Homo sapiens (human)
Lineage: Eukaryota; Metazoa; Chordata; Mammalia; Primates; Hominidae
Description: non-protein coding lnc-IER5-3:1
Source: RNAcentral